RNAcentral lists this ribosomal RNA (251 nucleotides) under uncultured bacterium. RNAcentral describes it as "partial 16S ribosomal RNA". It matches the Rfam family "Bacterial small subunit ribosomal RNA", at positions 525 to 775 of the family's 1533-position model. The record is from RNAcentral.
ACGUAGGGUGCAAGCGUUGUCCGGAAUUACUGGGUGUAAAGGGAGCGCAGGCGGACCGGCAAGUUGGAAGUGAAAACUAUGGGCUUAACCCAUAAAUUGCUUUCAAAACUGCUGGCCUUGAGUAGUGCAGAGGUAGGUGGAAUUCCCGGUGUAGCGGUGGAAUGCGUAGAUAUCGGGAGGAACACCAGUGGCGAAGGCGACCUACUGGGCACCAACUGACGCUGAGGCUCGAAAGCAUGGGUAGCAAACAG